UACGAAGGGUGCAAGCGUUACUCGGAAUUACUGGGCGUAAAGCGUGCGUAGGUGGUUUUUUAAGUCCGUUGUGAAAGCCCUGGGCUCAACCUGGGAAUGGCAGUGGAUACUGGAAAGCUAGAGUGCGGUAGAGGGUAGUGGAAUUCCCGGUGUAGCAGUGAAAUGCGUAGAUAUCAGGAGGAACACCUGCGGUGUAGACGGCUUACUGGACGGUAACUGACGCUGAGGCACGAAAGCGUGGGUAGCAAACAGG
Molecule: ribosomal RNA, 253 nt
Filed under: uncultured bacterium
Lineage: Bacteria
Description: partial 16S ribosomal RNA
Rfam family: Bacterial small subunit ribosomal RNA
Source: RNAcentral